CCUACGGGAGGCAGCAGUGGGGAAUUUUGGACAAUGGGGGCAACCCUGGUCCAGCCAUGCCGCGUGCGGGAAGAAGGCCUUCGGGUUGUAAACCGCUUUCGGCCGGAACGAAAUCGCCCGGGUGAACAUCCCGGGUGGAUGACGGUACCGGAAGAAGAAGCACCGGCUAACUACGUGCCAGCAGCCGCGGUAAUACGUAGGGUGCGAGCGUUAAUCGGAAUUACUGGGCGUAAAGCGUGCGCAAGCGGUCUCGUAAGACAGGUGUGAAAUCCCCGGGCUUAACCUGGGAACUGCGCUUGUGACUGCGAGGCUGGAGUGCGGAAGAGGGAGGUGGAAUUCCACGUGUAGCAGUGAAAUGCGUAGAGAUGUGGAGGAACACCGAUGGCGAAGGCAGCCUCCUGGUCCAGCACUGACGCUCAUGCACGAAAGCGUGGGGAGCAAACAGGAUUAGAUACCCUGGUAGUCCACGCCCUAAACGAUGACGACUAGUUGUUGGGGUAGAAGUACCUUAGUAACGCAGCUAACGCGUGAAGUCGUCCGCCUGGGGAGUACGGUCGCAAGAUUAAAACUCAAAGGAAUUGACGG
RNAcentral lists this ribosomal RNA (585 nucleotides) under uncultured bacterium. RNAcentral's name for it is "bacterial SSU rRNA". It matches the Rfam family "Bacterial small subunit ribosomal RNA", at positions 338 to 916 of the family's 1533-position model. The record is from RNAcentral.